GUGAAUUCUAUUUAAUUAAAGAUGAUCACGUUGAAUAUUUUGACGGAAAUAAUACUGAUACAGUUAAAAAUAAGCCACUUAACACAUCUGUACUCAGUCAUGGGGAUAUUCUAGUAAAAUAUAAGAAGGUUAUACAUAUUAAUAAUUCAAGACAAGUAGUAAAAAAUGAUAUGGUGAAAAACAUCUUUAAUGAAUACAAUAUUAGUCAAAAUUACUAUAUAAUAAAUGAAACUACCCAAUUUGUAUUUAAAGUGGUUGCUAAAGAAUGCAUUUGGUUUGCUUUUUACAUGUGUGACAAAUGUGAUAUAAAUGUGGUGCAUGAAAAUUUAUUAUUUGACUAUUUUCAAGUAGGUUAUAUAUUAUUUAGAUAAUAAUUAACUAAUAUUUAACUUUUAGAUGAAAUGUCA
Aethina tumida (small hive beetle) is the source of this 407-nucleotide long non-coding RNA. RefSeq lists it as uncharacterized. Lineage: Eukaryota; Metazoa; Arthropoda; Insecta; Coleoptera; Nitidulidae. The transcript has 3 exons. The record is from RefSeq and is a predicted model, not a curated record.